CCCUUAGAUGUUCUGGGCCGCACGCGCACUACACUGACGGAGGCAGCGAGCAUGUCCUGCGCCGAGAGGUGUGGGGAAUCUUGUGAGUCUCCGUCGUGCUGGGGAUAGAUGGUUGCAAUUGUCGAUCUUGAACGAGGAAUACCUUGUAAGCGCGGGUCAUCAUCCCGCGCUGAAUACGUCCCUGCCCUUUGUACACACCGCCCGUCGCUCCUACCGAUUGAGUGGUCCGGUGAGGCUUUGGGAUCUGAGCGGAAAGAGCGUUUCGCUGUUUCUGCUCGGAAAACUCAGUCGAACCUUAUCAUUUAGAGGAAGGAGAAGUCGUAACA
Molecule: ribosomal RNA, 326 nt
Filed under: uncultured eukaryote
Lineage: Eukaryota
Description: partial 18S ribosomal RNA
Rfam family: Eukaryotic small subunit ribosomal RNA
Source: RNAcentral